Molecule: non-coding RNA, 460 nt
Organism: Cajanus cajan (pigeon pea)
Lineage: Eukaryota; Viridiplantae; Streptophyta; Magnoliopsida; Fabales; Fabaceae
Source: RefSeq, a predicted model, not a curated record
CUCUGAUCAACGUAGAUCCGUACCUGCUGUAAGUACUAUAGAAAAAUAUUUUCGGGAAAGAGAAUCGCGAAUUCUAAAAGGUGCUUGGUGGAGGAAGGGGCGAAUGGCGGAGGAUUGAUAUGCAGAAGCUAUGGAGGAAGAUUCGGAAGAGAUAUAGAUUGAACCAGAAUACUUAAGAGCAGAAACUUGCAAGGCUCAUGGAUUGGAAUGAAGUCUCAAACCAAACCUUACAUCAAAUACCAAAAUAGAGGAUGUUCUCGAAUGUUGGAUUUGUAAGCCAAAAAUUAUGUGGGAGGCUUGAGGAAUUAGACUUUUAAAGAUUUUGAUUUGAUCUCUUCUACUGUUCUGCAAACAAGCAGAUUAUUUCCUUUUGGAAAGACAGAUGCAAUGAAGUUCAAAAGUCUGGUACAUAUGAUAUAUAUGCUCAUUAAGUAUUGACAAGUUAGGUUCUAAUUUUGGA